AUGCCGAAGCUGCGGAAGGAGCAACGAUCCCUCUCGUGGGGAAACCCUGGAGCAGGACGCGGAGGGGCUGGGCUGUGCCCGGGGCUGCGGGCGGCCGUGCAGCUGAGCGAGUCCGGAGGGGGCCUCCAGCCGCCCGGCGGCAGCCUCCGCCUCGCCUGCAAGGGAAGCGGCUUCACCUUCAGCAGCUUCGGCAUGGGUUGGAUCCGGCAGGCGCCCGGGAAGGGGCUCGAGCCUGUCGCAGUUAUUGGCAGCGAUGGUAGCGAUACAAACUACGCAUCUGCGGUGAAAGGUCGCUUCACCGCCUCCAGGGACAACGCCCAGAGCACGCUCUACCUGCAGAUGAGCAGCCUCAAGCCCGACGACACCGGCACCUACUACUGCGCGAAACAAGCUGGUGGUUAUUAUGGUGGUGGAGACCCUGUUUGUGGCCAGGGCCCUGAUGGGAAGCACCCACGAGUGCUGAUGGCCGUGACCUGUCCAAGAUGA
Non-coding RNA from Dromaius novaehollandiae (emu), 486 nucleotides. The record is from the annotation of a RefSeq genome assembly. NCBI's taxonomy places the organism in Eukaryota, Metazoa, Chordata, Aves, Casuariiformes, Dromaiidae.